This 778-nucleotide long non-coding RNA is filed under the name Nicotiana benthamiana. Its description in RNAcentral is "long non-coding RNA (NBEN_LNC021919)". The record is from RNAcentral. Lineage: Eukaryota; Viridiplantae; Streptophyta; Magnoliopsida; Solanales; Solanaceae.
UAGAAAUUCGGAAUUCAUAAAAUAAUUUUUUUUUAAAAAGAUUUCUUUUUCCCCCAAGAAAGAAGAAAAGGACUAACAUGAUGGAGCGAAGAUUAAGCGACCGGAGAAACGUGAAAUUGGAGGACUGAGGAAACCCAGAUCUGUAAAUGCAGUUAUCUUCAACAGCAGAAAAAUUUGUGGGCGGCACCAACAAGUCACCACCCUCUAUUUCCAAAAUCUGACACAUCUUUUUCUUUUUUCUUUAUCAAAAUCUCAAUUAACAGCCAAUGCUAAAGAACUACUACCGCCGCCAUCAUCAUCAUCAUCAUCUUAUAAUCAGUAUCAAAAGCAAGAUAAAUGGUUGUAGAAUUUUGUUUCAAUUUAUUUCCAUGAGGGCGGCGUGGAAAUUGCAAAGAGGGAUGAUGUAGGGUAUAGUAUGCUAGGGUCUAUUGGAUUAUGAUUUGUAGAAAAGAGCAAAUCAAGAAAAAGGUCACCACCCUUUAUUUCCAAAAUCUGACACAUCUUGUUCUUUUUUCUUUAUUAAAAUCUCAAUUAACAACCAAUGCUAAAGAACUAUUACCGCCGCCAUCAUCGUCAUCAUCUUAUAAUCAGUAGCAAAGGCAAGAUAAAUGGUUGUCGAAUUGUUUCAAUUUAUAUCCAUGAGGGCGGCGUGGAAAUUGCCAAGAAAAAGGCAUGAUUACGAAAAGAGCAAAUCGGACUUUGUUUUAUGUUAGGACUUGGGAUCGUCGAGGAAUUUGCCUAUGUUUAGGACUAGCAAAAAUUUGACUGCUUUCGAAAU